AGCGAACAGACGAGUGAGCUUGCUCCUCUGACGUUAGCGGCGGACGGGUGAGUAACACGUGGAUAACCUACCUAUAAGACUGGGAUAACUUCGGGAAACCGGAGCUAAUACCGGAUAAUAUAUUGAACCGCAUGGUUCAAUAGUGAAAGACGGUUUUGCUGUCACUUAUAGAUGGAUCCGCGCCGCAUUAGCUAGUUGGUAAGGUAACGGCUUACCAAGGCAACGAUGCGUAGCCGACCUGAGAGGGUGAUCGGCCACACUGGAACUGAGACACGGUCCAGACUCCUACGGGAGGCAGCAGUAGGGAAUCUUCCGCAAUGGGCGAAAGCCUGACGGAGCAACGCCGCGUGAGUGAUGAAGGUCUUCGGAUCGUAAAACUCUGUUAUUAGGGAAGAACAAAUGUGUAAGUAACUAUGCACGUCUUGACGGUACCUAAUCAGAAAGCCACGGCUAACUAC
This 458-nucleotide ribosomal RNA is filed under the name uncultured Staphylococcus sp. RNAcentral's name for it is "bacterial SSU rRNA". It matches the Rfam family "Bacterial small subunit ribosomal RNA", at positions 65 to 504 of the family's 1533-position model. The record is from RNAcentral. Lineage: Bacteria; Bacillati; Bacillota; Bacilli; Caryophanales; Staphylococcaceae.